GCAAACGCACCAAUUUCUAACCGCAGAACCAGUCGUACAAAUCUCUUAAAACCGCUAGAAACCGCAACUACCUGCAUCCGCAAACUCCCGCAAUCGCAACUGAUGCGGUUGAACCAGUCAGGCCCUAAGUGGCAAAAGACUCUUAUGCACUUGUUAUUUAUAUAUAAUAAAUUAUUAUUUAAAUAAUAAAAAAAUAAUAAAAAAAAGAAACUUUUUUUAUGUUUUCGAAUUAUAGUUUUUCAAAUUCAAACUUUUUUAUAAAGUUUUUUUUUUAAAUUGUUUUUUCGAAUUUUUUUUAUUCUUUUUUCAAAUUUCUUUUUCAAAAACGAAAAUCAUGUUUGAAACUACUUUUUUUAAAUUUUUUAUAUACUUUUUAAGUAUUUCUUUAUAUAUUUAUUAGAAUUCUAAAUUUCACAUUCCAAAAACCCUAUCCCACCCUUCAACUCUAAACCCUAAGUCUAGAUUAGUUAACCCUCGUGUUCUAAAACGCCGAUGCCUAGCCGCAAAAUCGUCCGCGUAGGCGUUCGACGGCAAGCCAGCGCCGCGAUUAAAGCCAAAUCGGCUUAACUAUGCGGACGACCGAUAAAUCGGUCAAUCGAAGCGAUUAAUCGGUUUUUGAACCGACUUUUACCGCUUAAAUCCGCGUAAACUUCAACUAUCCAGUUAAUUAUGGGCUUAUAUUUAAAGCCCAUUUGCAAGUAACUACUCAGAGACUAGCUAGUGACUAUUUAUAGAUGUCUUCAACCCUUUUCCUCUUUAUACCUUACCGAUGUGGGAUCUUUGAUAUGUGUUUUUAAAAUUUUUUGGCGUAAAAUUAAAUACGCAUUGGCAGUCCAUCGAACCGUUGACCUUAAACUGCCCCAACAUCUGCGCACUCCAUUACACCAACG
RNAcentral lists this long non-coding RNA (890 nucleotides) under Brassica rapa (field mustard). Its description in RNAcentral is "long non-coding RNA (BRAP_LNC004081)". The record is from RNAcentral. Lineage: Eukaryota; Viridiplantae; Streptophyta; Magnoliopsida; Brassicales; Brassicaceae.